CGUGUAGGCGGCUUGGUAAGCGGUCUGUGAAAGCCCGGGGCUCAACCCCGGAAUUGCAGACCGAACUGCUGGGCUAGAGAACGAGAGGGGACUGUGGAACUCUAGGUGGAGCGGUGAAAUGCGUAGAUAUCUAGAGGAACACCGGUGGCGAAAGCGACAGUCUGGCUCGUUUCUGACGCUGAGGCGCGAAAGCGUGGGUAGCAAACA
Molecule: ribosomal RNA, 207 nt
Filed under: uncultured bacterium
Lineage: Bacteria
Description: partial 16S ribosomal RNA
Rfam family: Bacterial small subunit ribosomal RNA
Source: RNAcentral